RNAcentral lists this ribosomal RNA (367 nucleotides) under Escherichia coli. RNAcentral describes it as "bacterial SSU rRNA". It matches the Rfam family "Bacterial small subunit ribosomal RNA", at positions 661 to 1027 of the family's 1533-position model. Lineage: Bacteria; Pseudomonadati; Pseudomonadota; Gammaproteobacteria; Enterobacterales; Enterobacteriaceae. The record is from RNAcentral.
GUAGAAUUCCAGGUGUAGCGGUGAAAUGCGUAGAGAUCUGGAGGAAUACCGGUGGCGAAGGCGGCCCCCUGGACGAAGACUGACGCUCAGGUGCGAAAGCGUGGGGAGCAAACAGGAUUAGAUACCCUGGUAGUCCACGCCGUAAACGAUGUCGACUUGGAGGUUGUGCCCUUGAGGCGUGGCUUCCGGAGCUAACGCGUUAAGUCGACCGCCUGGGGAGUACGGCCGCAAGGUUAAAACUCAAAUGAAUUGACGGGGGCCCGCACAAGCGGUGGAGCAUGUGGUUUAAUUCGAUGCAACGCGAAGAACCUUACCUGGUCUUGACAUCCACGGAAGUUUUCAGAGAUGAGAAUGUGCCUUCGGGAAC